RNAcentral lists this transfer RNA (72 nucleotides) under Cordylochernes scorpioides. Its description in RNAcentral is "tRNA-Pro". The record is from RNAcentral. Lineage: Eukaryota; Metazoa; Arthropoda; Arachnida; Pseudoscorpiones; Chernetidae.
GGGCUCGUCCGGGAUUUGAACCCGAGACCUCUCGCGCCCAAAGCGAGAAUCAUACCCCUAGACCAACGAGCC